This 744-nucleotide ribosomal RNA is filed under the name uncultured bacterium. Its description in RNAcentral is "bacterial SSU rRNA". It matches the Rfam family "Bacterial small subunit ribosomal RNA", at positions 8 to 796 of the family's 1533-position model. The record is from RNAcentral.
AGAGUUUGAUCCUGGCUCAGAGCGAACGCUGGCGGCAGGCUUAACACAUGCAAGUCGAGCGGGCGUAGCAAUACGUCAGCGGCAGACGGGUGAGUAACGCGUGGGAACGUACCUUUUGGUUCGGAACAACCCAGGGAAACUUGGGCUAAUACCGGAUAAGCCCUUACGGGGAAAGAUUUAUCGCCAAAAGAUCGGCCCGCGUCUGAUUAGCUAGUUGGUGGGGUAAUGGCCCACCAAGGCGACGAUCAGUAGCUGGUCUGAGAGGAUGAUCAGCCACAUUGGGACUGAGACACGGCCCAAACUCCUACGGGAGGCAGCAGUGGGGAAUAUUGGACAAUGGGCGCAAGCCUGAUCCAGCCAUGCCGCGUGAGUGAUGAAGGCCCUAGGGUUGUAAAGCUCUUUUGUGCGGGAAGAUAAUGACGGUACCGCAAGAAUAAGCCCCGGCUAACUUCGUGCCAGCAGCCGCGGUAAUACGAAGGGGGCUAGCGUUGCUCGGAAUCACUGGGCGUAAAGGGUGCGUAGGCGGGUCUUUAAGUCAGGGGUGAAAUCCUGGAGCUCAACUCCAGAACUGCCUUUGAUACUGAAGGUCUUGAGUUCGGGAGAGGUGAGUGGAACUGCGAGUGUAGAGGUGAAAUUCGUAGAUAUUCGCAAGAACACCAGUGGCGAAGGCGGCUCACUGGCCCGAUACUGACGCUGAUGCACGAAAGCGUGGGGAGCAAACAGGAUUAGAUACCCUAGUAGUCC